GACGAACGCUGGCGGCGUGCCUAACACAUGCAAGUCGAACGGAAAGGCCCGGCUUUUGUGGGGUGGUCGAGGGGCGAACGGGUGAGUAACACGUGAGUAACCUGUCCCUGACUUUGGGAUAACUUCAGGAAACUGGGGCUCAUACCGGAUAGGAGCUCUUGCUGCAUGGUGGGGGUUGGAUAGUUUCGGCGGUUGGGGAUGGACUCGCGGCUUAUCAGCUUGUUGGUGGGGUAGUGGCUGACCAAGGCUUUGACCGGUAGCCGGCCUGAGAGGGUGACCGGCCACAUUGGGACUGAGAUACGGCCCAGACUCCUACGGGAGGCAGCAGUGGGGAAUAUUACACAAUGGGCGGAAGCCUGAUGCAGCAACGCCGCGUGCGGGAUGACGGCCUUCGGGUUGUGUACCGCUUUCGCCUGUGACGAGGCGUGAGUGACGGUAAUGGGUAAAGAAGCACCGGCUAACUACGUG
Molecule: ribosomal RNA, 468 nt
Filed under: uncultured bacterium
Lineage: Bacteria
Description: partial 16S ribosomal RNA
Rfam family: Bacterial small subunit ribosomal RNA
Source: RNAcentral